This 166-nucleotide ribosomal RNA is filed under the name Bacillus sp. M37. RNAcentral describes it as "partial 16S ribosomal RNA". It matches the Rfam family "Bacterial small subunit ribosomal RNA", at positions 337 to 511 of the family's 1533-position model. The record is from RNAcentral. Lineage: Bacteria; Bacillati; Bacillota; Bacilli; Caryophanales; Bacillaceae.
UCCUACGGGAGGCAGCAGUAGGGAAUCUUCCGCAAUGGACGAAAGUCUGACGGAGCAACGCCGCGUGAGCGAUGAAGGCCUUCGGGUUGUAAAGCUCUGUUGUCAGGGAAGAACAAGUAUCGGAGUAACUGCCGGUACCUGACGUACCUACCAGAAGACGUUCCCU